UACGUAGGGGCCUAGCGUUGUCCGGAUUUAUUGGGCGUAAAGAGCUCGUAGGCGGUUUGGUGAGUCGGGUGUGAAAUCUCCAGGCUCAACCUGGAGGGGUCAUUCGAUACUGCCGUGACUUGAGGUCGGUAGGGGAGUGUGGAAUUCCUGGUGGAGCGGUGAAAUGCGCAGAUAUCAGGAGGAACACCCGUAGCGAAGGCGGCAUCCUGGACCGGCAUUGACGCUGAGGAGCGAAAGCCAGGGGAGCAAACGGG
Molecule: ribosomal RNA, 254 nt
Filed under: uncultured bacterium
Lineage: Bacteria
Description: partial 16S ribosomal RNA
Rfam family: Bacterial small subunit ribosomal RNA
Source: RNAcentral